AGUUAGCGGCGGACGGGUGAKUAACACGUGGGUAACCUGCCCAWAAGACUGGGAUAACUCCGGGAAACCGGGGCUAAUACCGGAUAACAUUUUGAACCGCAKGGUUCGAAAUUGAAAGGCGGCUUCGGCUGUCACUUAUGGAUGGACCCGCGUCGCAUUAGCUAGUUGGUGAGGUAACGGCUCACCAAGGCAACGAUGCGUAGCCRACCUGAGAGGGUGAUCGGCCACACUGGGACUGARACACGGCCCARACUCCUACGGGAGGCAGCAGUAGGGAAUCUUCCGCAAUGGACRAAAGUCUGACGGASCAACSCCGCGUGAGUGAUGAAGGCUUUCGGGUCGUAAAACUCUGUUGUUAGGGAAGAACAAGUGCUAKUUGAAUAAGCUGGCACCUUGACGGUACCUAACCARAAAGCCACGGCUAACUACGUGCCAGCAGCCGCGGUAAUACGUAGGUGGCAAGCGUUAUCCGGAAUUAUUGGGCGUAAAGCGCGCGCAGGUGGUUUCUUAAGUCUGAUGUGAAAGCCCACGGCUCAMCCGUGGAGGGUCAUUGGAAACUGGGAGACUUGAGUGCAAAAGAGGAAAGUGGAAUUCCAUGUGUAGCGGUGAAAUGCGUAGAGAUAUGGAGGAACACCAGUGGCGAAGGCGACUUUCUGGUCUGUAACUGACACUGAGGCGCGAAGCGUGGGGAGCAAACAGGAUUAGAUACCCUG
RNAcentral lists this ribosomal RNA (713 nucleotides) under Bacillus sp. (in: firmicutes). Its description in RNAcentral is "bacterial SSU rRNA". It matches the Rfam family "Bacterial small subunit ribosomal RNA", at positions 90 to 789 of the family's 1533-position model. The record is from RNAcentral. Lineage: Bacteria; Bacillati; Bacillota; Bacilli; Caryophanales; Bacillaceae.